Molecule: small RNA, 81 nt
Filed under: Halpernia frigidisoli
Lineage: Bacteria; Pseudomonadati; Bacteroidota; Flavobacteriia; Flavobacteriales; Weeksellaceae
Description: Flavo-1 RNA
Rfam family: Flavo-1 RNA
Source: Rfam by way of RNAcentral
AAAUAGCCCCGAUUGAAAUGGAAAUCCUUUUUAUUUUUUGAAAAAAAAAGAAAAAGAUUGGAAUGGAAAGCGGGAAGACUA